This 504-nucleotide ribosomal RNA is filed under the name uncultured bacterium. RNAcentral describes it as "bacterial SSU rRNA". It matches the Rfam family "Bacterial small subunit ribosomal RNA", at positions 149 to 648 of the family's 1533-position model. The record is from RNAcentral.
GCUCGAAGAGCAGCUAAUACCGCAUACGACCUGAGGGUGAAAGCGGGGGAUCGCAAGACCUCGCGCUAUUGGAGCGGCCGAUGUCAGAUUAGCUAGUUGGUGGGGUAAAGGCCUACCAAGGCAACGAUCUGUAGUUGGUCUGAGAGGACGACCAGCCACACUGGGACUGAGACACGGCCCAGACUCCUACGGGAGGCAGCAGUGGGGAAUUUUGGACAAUGGGGGCAACCCUGAUCCAGCAAUGCCGCGUGCAGGAAGAAGGCCUUCGGGUUGUAAACUGCUUUUGUCAGGGAAGAAAUCCUCUGGGUUAAUACCUCGGGGGGAUGACGGUACCUGAAGAAUAAGCACCGGCUAACUACGUGCCAGCAGCCGCGGUAAUACGUAGGGUGCGAGCGUUAAUCGGAAUUACUGGGCGUAAAGCGUGCGCAGGCGGCUUUGCAAGACAGAUGUGAAAUCCCCCGGGCUCAACCUGGGAACUGCAUUUGUGACUGCAAGGCUAGAGUA